This 1113-nucleotide ribosomal RNA is filed under the name Vibrio cholerae INDRE 91/1. Its description in RNAcentral is "bacterial LSU rRNA". It matches the Rfam family "Bacterial large subunit ribosomal RNA", at positions 1816 to 2925 of the family's 2925-position model. Lineage: Bacteria; Pseudomonadati; Pseudomonadota; Gammaproteobacteria; Vibrionales; Vibrionaceae. The record is from RNAcentral.
GCACUGUGCAAAAUCGCAAGAUGACGUAUACGGUGUGACGCCUGCCCGGUGCCGGAAGGUUAAUUGAUGGGGUUAGCGCAAGCGAAGCUCUUGAUCGAAGCCCCGGUAAACGGCGGCCGUAACUAUAACGGUCCUAAGGUAGCGAAAUUCCUUGUCGGGUAAGUUCCGACCUGCACGAAUGGCGUAAUGAUGGCCACGCUGUCUCCACCCGAGACUCAGUGAAAUUGAAAUCGCUGUGAAGAUGCAGUGUACCCGCGGCUAGACGGAAAGACCCCGUGAACCUUUACUACAGCUUGGCACUGAACAUUGAACCUACAUGUGUAGGAUAGGUGGGAGGCUAUGAAGACGUGACGCCAGUUGCGUUGGAGCCGUCCUUGAAAUACCACCCUUGUAUGUUUGAUGUUCUAACUUAGACCCGUUAUCCGGGUUGAGGACAGUGCCUGGUGGGUAGUUUGACUGGGGCGGUCUCCUCCCAAAGAGUAACGGAGGAGCACAAAGGUGGGCUAAUCACGGUUGGACAUCGUGAGGUUAGUGCAAUGGCAUAAGCCCGCUUAACUGCGAGAAUGACGGUUCGAGCAGGUGCGAAAGCAGGUCAUAGUGAUCCGGUGGUUCUGUAUGGAAGGGCCAUCGCUCAACGGAUAAAAGGUACUCCGGGGAUAACAGGCUGAUACCGCCCAAGAGUUCAUAUCGACGGCGGUGUUUGGCACCUCGAUGUCGGCUCAUCACAUCCUGGGGCUGAAGUCGGUCCCAAGGGUAUGGCUGUUCGCCAUUUAAAGUGGUACGCGAGCUGGGUUUAGAACGUCGUGAGACAGUUCGGUCCCUAUCUGCCGUGGGCGUUGGAAGAUUGAAGGGGGCUGCUCCUAGUACGAGAGGACCGGAGUGGACGAACCUCUGGUGUUCGGGUUGUGUCGCCAGACGCAUUGCCCGGUAGCUAAGUUCGGAAUUGAUAAGCGCUGAAAGCAUCUAAGCGCGAAGCGAGCCCUGAGAUGAGUCUUCCCUGACAGUUUAACUGUCCUAAAGGGUUGUUCGAGACUAGAACGUUGAUAGGCAGGGUGUGUAAGCGUUGUGAGGCGUUGAGCUAACCUGUACUAAUUGCCCGUGAGGCUUAACCAU